Molecule: ribosomal RNA, 465 nt
Filed under: uncultured bacterium
Lineage: Bacteria
Description: partial 16S ribosomal RNA
Rfam family: Bacterial small subunit ribosomal RNA
Source: RNAcentral
CCUACGGGAGGCAGCAGUGGGGAAUAUUGCGCAAUGGGCGAAAGCCUGACGCAGCGACGCCGCUUGAGGGAUGAAGGUCUUCGGAUCGUAAACCUCUGUCAGCAGGGAAGUACGGUCACUGUGCUAAUCAGCAGUGAAUUGCCGGUACCUGCAAAGGAAGCACCGGCUAACUCCGUGCCAGCAGCCGCGGUAAUACGGAGGGUGCGAGCGUUAAUCGGAAUUACUGGGCGUAAAGCGCUCGUAGGCGGUAUGUCAAGUCAAGGGUGAAAUCCCCGCGCUCAACGUGGGAACUGCCUUUGAAACUGGCAGACUGGAGUGUGUGAGAGGAUAGUGGAAUUCGAGGUGUAGGAGUGAAAUCCGUAGAUAUCUGGAGGAACAUCAGUGGCGAAGGCGACUAUCUGGCACAUAACUGACGCUGAGGAGCGAAAGCGUGGGUAGCAAACAGGAUUAGAUACCCUAGUAGUC